Molecule: ribosomal RNA, 253 nt
Filed under: uncultured bacterium
Lineage: Bacteria
Description: partial 16S ribosomal RNA
Rfam family: Bacterial small subunit ribosomal RNA
Source: RNAcentral
GACGUAGGGCGCAAGCGUUGUCCGGAAUUAUUGGGCGUAAAGAGCUCGUAGGCGGCUUGUCGCGUCGACUGUGAAAACCUGCAGCUCAACUGUGGGCUUGCAGUCGAUACGGGCAGGCUAGAAUUCGGUAGGGGAGACUGGAAUUCCUGGUGUAGCGGUGAAAUGCGCAGAUAUCAGGAGGAACACCGAUGGCGAAGGCAGCUCGCUGGGACGGUACUGACGCUGAGGAGCGAAAGCGUGGGGAGCGAACAGG